GAUGAACGCUAGCGGCAGGCCUAACACAUGCAAGUCGAGGGAGAAGCCCUUUCGGGGGCAGAAACCGGCGCACGGGUGCGUAACGCGUAUGCAACCUACCUUUCACAGGGGGAUAGCCCGAAGAAAUUUGGAUUAAUACCCCAUAAUAUUAUUGGAUGGCAUCAUUUGAUAAUUAAAACUGCGGUGGUGAAAGAUGGGCAUGCGUCCUAUUAGCUAGUUGGAGUGGUAACGGCACCCCAAGGCUACGAUAGGUAGGGGUCCUGAGAGGGAGAUCCCCCACACGGGUACUGGGACAGGGACCAGACUCCUACGGGAGGCAGCAGUGAGGAAUAUUGGUCAAUGGUCGGAAGACUGAACCAGCCAUGCCGCGUGCAGGAAGAAUGCCUUAUGGGUUGUAAACUGCUUUUAUAUGGGAAGAAUAAGGCGUACGUGUACGUUGAUGACGGUACCAGAUGAAUAAGCAUCGGCUAACUCCGUG
RNAcentral lists this ribosomal RNA (478 nucleotides) under uncultured bacterium. RNAcentral's name for it is "partial 16S ribosomal RNA". It matches the Rfam family "Bacterial small subunit ribosomal RNA", at positions 28 to 507 of the family's 1533-position model. The record is from RNAcentral.